UACGUAGGGGGCAAGCGUUAUCCGGAAUCACUGGGCGUAAAGGGCGCGUAGGCGGCUCAUGAAGGCUGUGGUGAAAGUCCGGGGCUCAACCUCGGAUCGGCCGUGGCGACUCGUGGGCUGGAGCACUGUAGAGGCGGGUGGAAUUCCGGGUGUAGCGGUGGAAUGCGUAGAGAUCCGGAAGAACACCAGUGGCGAAGGCGGCCCGCUGGGCAGUGGCUGACGCUGAGGCGCGACAGCGUGGGGAGCAAACAGG
This 253-nucleotide ribosomal RNA is filed under the name uncultured bacterium. RNAcentral's name for it is "partial 16S ribosomal RNA". It matches the Rfam family "Bacterial small subunit ribosomal RNA", at positions 524 to 776 of the family's 1533-position model. The record is from RNAcentral.